AAAACAUAAUGUAUUGGACCAAAGUAGGAAGAAACAGGACUAAUGUGAAAUAACUAACAAACUUACGUGACACUUUAACUUUAUUUAAUUUGAAACAAACAGUGAACACAUUUAAAAAGAAAACAAUAAAAUCUUAAAUCACAUUUCUCCUCAUCUACUCUCGUAACACAGACGCCCUCCUGUGUUAAAAACUAUUAUAUCAAAAAACAUUAAGUCAUUUUUAAUGUGAAGGAAAAACAGAAAUGUUGACUUUGGUGUUUUUUUUCUGAAAGUGAGCAAUUACCAAUAUAUGAAGGAAACAGAGGGACAAGAAUGUAAGCAAAGACCAUCAGAAAAAACAAGAUUAGAUUUUAGUACGAUUAUAAACACAAAUUUGAUGUACUUUGGAUUAAAAAUACUGCAGGAGGCUGCAACUAAUCACUUUUAGUGUCAAACACAGAUUACUUUCUCAAUCAAUCAUUUCAUCUGUAAAAUGUCAAAAAGAGGAAAAAAUGUAAAGAAAAAUUCCCAUCUGCUUCCAACAGAUAAAGACAAAGAUUUGUUUGUCUGAACAGCAGCGUUAAAUAGUCAAUUUUCUAUCGCAAUGAAGACGAACAACCCAUAAAAACAUCAAUAUGUGAAUGUGAACAGCUGCAAACAGCAAAGAUUAAAUAGAAAACUCAAUGCAGAUGACACAGUGACUCAUUAUUUGACUGACUAAUUACUGCAGCUCUACUUUCAGAGUGAUAUUUUAGGAAGCACUGUUAAAGUUUAAAUGUUUGGUCUGUGUGUGACUAGUUUUAGUAGCUACACCAACACAGGAAAUGUUAUUUAAAUGAACAGUUUAAAGGCUCAAAUGGGUAAAAUCAUCCAAAACGUGUCUUUUCUUCUUUACAUCUUACCGCAUAAUGAGUUCUUUGCCUAUACUUUAAAAUAUCAUAAUAUUUUUUUUGCAACAUUUAUGAAAAUAGACCAUUUACUUGUCACUGAGUAUUUGUACUUUGCUGUGUUGCUACUUUUACAGAAGUGAAGAAAUAUUUCAGCCCACACAGAGUUCAGUCUGACAGAUUUCUGAGCUACAAUCAGUAAAAAGAAACUUCUUUCAGCCCACCUGAUGUUCUGCUGUCACUUAAAGUCCAAAAUCCUCCAGAUGUUUCCCAGAUGUCAGGUCCUUCACCCUGAUCAAGUGGUCCUAAACAUUUCACAAAUAUGGGCUCACUACUGUUGAACUGUCUAGAACCACUGGACCAGAGAGGAUCAGCAGCGUCCGCCAGGCUCCGG
This is a long non-coding RNA of Amphiprion ocellaris (clown anemonefish), 1260 nucleotides long. The record is from Ensembl. NCBI's taxonomy places the organism in Eukaryota, Metazoa, Chordata, Actinopteri, Pomacentridae.